RNAcentral lists this non-coding RNA (46 nucleotides) under Schistosoma mattheei. The record is from RNAcentral. Lineage: Eukaryota; Metazoa; Platyhelminthes; Trematoda; Strigeidida; Schistosomatidae.
GAACUGCUGAGGAGUCCCAUACUAGGACGAAACGAUCAUCCAGUGC